AAGUCGUAACAAGGUUUCCGUAGGUGAACCUGCGGAAGGAUCAUUACCACAUACAAAAUCUUACAAACCCACAAGUGUGAAGUUGUGAUGAGGAACUUUCUUCAUUUUUUUUUUGAACCCCUUUUGAACUUUUUACCAAGAGAAUAAGCAAGACUAAAAAUGAGAAAAGAGAAAACAACUUUUAACGGUGGAUCUCUUGGCUCGU
RNAcentral lists this unclassified non-coding RNA (205 nucleotides) under fungal sp. Its description in RNAcentral is "partial internal transcribed spacer region". The stretch from base 1 to 46 matches the Rfam family "Eukaryotic small subunit ribosomal RNA", at positions 1786 to 1831 of the family's 1831-position model. Lineage: Eukaryota; Fungi. The record is from RNAcentral.